RNAcentral lists this ribosomal RNA (518 nucleotides) under Pseudomonas sp. Hugh2770. RNAcentral's name for it is "bacterial SSU rRNA". It matches the Rfam family "Bacterial small subunit ribosomal RNA", at positions 8 to 521 of the family's 1533-position model. The record is from RNAcentral. Lineage: Bacteria; Pseudomonadati; Pseudomonadota; Gammaproteobacteria; Pseudomonadales; Pseudomonadaceae.
AGAGUUUGAUCUCGGCUCAGAUUGAACGCUGGCGGCAGGCCUAACACAUGCAAGUCGAGCGGAUGACGGGAGCUUGCUCCUUGAUUCAGCGGCGGACGGGUGAGUAAUGCCUAGGAAUCUGCCUGGUAGUGGGGGACAACGUUUCGAAAGGAACGCUAAUACCGCAUACGUCCUACGGGAGAAAGCAGGGGACCUUCGGGCCUUGCGCUAUCAGAUGAGCCUAGGUCGGAUUAGCUAGUUGGUGGGGUAAUGGCUCACCAAGGCGACGAUCCGUAACUGGUCUGAGAGGAUGAUCAGUCACACUGGAACUGAGACACGGUCCAGACUCCUACGGGAGGCAGCAGUGGGGAAUAUUGGACAAUGGGCGAAAGCCUGAUCCAGCCAUGCCGCGUGUGUGAAGAAGGUCUUCGGAUUGUAAAGCACUUUAAGUUGGGAGGAAGGGCAGUAAGCUAAUACCUUGCUGUUUUGACGUUACCGACAGAAUAAGCACCGGCUAACUCUGUGCCAGCAGCCGCGGU